This is a long non-coding RNA of Drosophila biarmipes, 2356 nucleotides long. RefSeq lists it as uncharacterized. Lineage: Eukaryota; Metazoa; Arthropoda; Insecta; Diptera; Drosophilidae. The record is from RefSeq and is a predicted model, not a curated record. The transcript has 3 exons.
GGGAUUUUUAUUGGCACAAAACAUUUCAUCACGACACCUAGGGGUAACGGAAGCAAAUUUUUUUUUGGUUACGUUGUGAAUCUUAUAAAAAAUAUCAAUAAGGGACGUUCUUUAAACGUGGAUCAACGCACAACAUCUUGCACUUAAGAGCACAAUUUAAACAGCAGCUGCUUCUCUUUUCAUAACUCAUAAAGAAUGCACCAGGUCCUUUUCUCUUUUGGAGAUGCGCAAAACAAAAGGACUGGCCAAAGGCAAGCAGAUUAUAAGACAGAGAAAGAGAGGAAUCUCCGAAGAUCUGCCUGAGGCAAGCAGAUUAUAAGACCCAGAAAGAGAGGAAUCUCCGAAGAUCUGGCUCUCCUUAUUGCACUACCGCUUUUUUCACACUCUUCUAAGCUUUUACCAUCUGGCAUGCAGUGAUGCCAAUAUUUGUUCGUAUAAAAAGACAGAUUAAGAAAAAAAAACUGAAAAAAAAAGGAUGAAAAUAUUAAAAAAAGAAUAAAAAGUUAAUUAAAGUAAUUUUAUUUUUUAUUAUUAAGAUAAUAGUUUUAAGUCAUAAUAAUAGUUUCCUUCGUCAUUAUUGCUGUCCUCAAAGUAGCCAUGGAUCCAAUUAAUUGGCGACACUUUUCAGGCAAGUUAUAAUUAUGAAAUCUGAAGAAAGAAUACAUGUACUUGUACAUCUACUUGAUGUAUUAUCAAUUUAUAUAUGGUAAAUUUUACAGUUAAUACUGCAUUUGCAAUAUGCCUUGUUAAUGUCUGAAUUAUGUCGGCUAAUUCAAUCUUUAAAAUCGGGCUGCAGUACCCAGCAAUCCUUUUGCUUAAACAUUUCUUUUGGCAUUUUAAUUUUAUAAUACAAAUUGCGUGUUCAGUACCGAAACAGAUAGUGUAAGUAAACCGUAAAUAGAGUUGUUUUUCGAUGCAUUUUUUUUUAUCAAACUGUCGAUAUAAGUAUGGCCGCCGCGAGAAGUUGCCACCUCUGUCAUAUUUUACAGCUGAUAAUAAAUUUAAAUUGGAAAGCAAAAGCAACAAUUUUAGAAAAAAUAGAAUUAAUAUUGAAUUAAAAAAAGACAGAUUUUCGGAACAAAAAUCUUAAAAAAAGACAGAUUUCAGGUAUGCGGAUGAUUUAAAAUGUUUUCCGGAUAAAGCGUUAAAAACAGGGCAGAUCUGUCCGGAAAAAGGACAAAUUGGCAUCACUGCUGACAUGUAACGUUUUACCUCUGUUGUACGCUUUACCAUUAUUGCCGACCGCUGCAAUAAAGGUUUAAAAACAUUGUAGUUUUUAAAUAUCGAUGUUAUUCAAUCUCAAAAUUAAUGUUUUAAAUUAAACAUAAACAUCGAACAAAUUUAAAACAAAAUAACAAAUAUUUAUUAAAGAUUCAUAGAAAGUCUUAAAGUUCAAAGCAAGUUCAGUGUUUCAAUUGAUAAAAAGCCACUACUGUAGGUAGUUUUGUACGAGUACCUGCGUUCAAAUAUUAGUUGCUAAACAAAUCUACAAAUGAUAAAAAUUACACUAGUUAACAGCCAAAAUACUUAAAAAGCUAAGAUUUGUCUGUUUGACACACCAAAUUUUUAAAAACCGUGUCCAUUUUCUGUCAUGGCUGGUCCCGCUCACUUAUUACCCUUUAACUUUUUUUGCGUGCGUUGUUCUGCCGUCGACGCCCUGCGCUGCUCCAGAAAAUAUGUUCGGGGAAUCCUCCGACGUAGCCACAGUAGUCCGUUCCAGUCAACUAUCAUGUGCUACGACCAAUCGAGUCCACGCCAGGAUCGGCGGGUUACACCUCCUAUUCCAGACUUAGGGUAUAUAAUGCUUGCGAUUUUCAGAAAACCGUUGGACACAACAGCCAACACCACACCAGGAUCGGCAGGUUAACUAUUUGGGCAAUUGCCGGACGUAGCUGGAAUAGUCCUCGUAGCAGCCGACCGGGUGUUCUUUUUUCUCUCAUGAGUUUCCUGUGAGUUUCUUGUUCAGAUGCAUCGCCUACGAAACCGGACUCAAGAUAGUCAACGACAGGAUACGUCGGUGCUACGUUUGCUCAGGUCCUACUCACAUAUUGGGGCAACCGUACUACGUAGCUACAGCAGUCCUCGCAACAGUCGACCGAGUCUAUAUUCAACUUAACCGUGUAUUUCACUUAAGGGCCUCAAUAAUUCUCGGCCUCUCCUCGCCUUCACUGCAAAAGACACCACACCAAAACUCCCAACUCUCUAUCUACGUCCCAUCGGAAAAUCGCGAUUUUUCCAUGAAGUUUGACCUUUUCAAAUAUUUAAUUUAGAAUACAUAUAUAUUAAUUUACUUCGAACUAUAUUUUAUUUAAAAUGUAUAAUUUAAAUUUUCUGAAGAAUUACAAUUAUUAUGUUU